Molecule: ribosomal RNA, 2070 nt
Filed under: Planctomycetaceae bacterium
Lineage: Bacteria; Pseudomonadati; Planctomycetota; Planctomycetia; Planctomycetales; Planctomycetaceae
Description: partial 23S ribosomal RNA
Rfam family: Bacterial large subunit ribosomal RNA
Source: RNAcentral
GAUCAAGCUAGAAAGGGCGCAUGGGGGAUGUCUUGGUAUCAGAAGAUUUUGAAGGGCGUUGAAGGCUGCGAUAUGUCCGGGGGAGUUGUCAAACAAACUUUGAUCCCGGAAUUCCCGAACCGGUAUCGACUGAAUUCAUAGGUCGAUGCGAGCAACACAGGGAACUGAAACAUCUAAGUACCUGUAGGAAAAGAAAGAAAAAUCGAUUCCGUUAGUAGCGGCGAGCGAAAGCGGAGAAGCCCAAACCAGGAGGAUUUUCCUCUUGGGGUUGUAGGGUCUUUCGCAUGGGAGUCAAAAAGUUGCCAAAUAGUAGAAGCGUUUGGAAAGACGCACCACAGAGGGUGAUAGUCCCGUACACGAAAUUUGUGCAGCCUCCCGAAAGAUACCUGAGUAGGUCGGGUCACGUGAAACCCUGACUGAAUCCGCGGAGACCAUUCCGCAAGGCUAAAUACUCUCUGAUAACCGAUAGUGAACCAGUAGAGCGAUCGAAAGAUGAAAAGAACCCUUAUAAAGGGAGUGUCUAUAGAAUCUGAAACCAUGUGCCUACAAGCGGUCGGAGCAAUGUGAUUUUAUAUCCGUGUGACGGCGUGCCUUUUGCAUAAUGAUCCGGCGAGUUGGCGUAAACAGCCCGGUUAAGGUCUUUCGGACCGAAGCCAUAGGGAAACCAAGUCUGAAUAGGGCGAAGUAUGUUGUUUGUGCCAGACGCGAACCCCAGUGAUCUACCCAUGAGCAGGUUGAAGCGCGGGUUAAACUGCGUGGAGGACCGAACCCACUUGGGUUGAAAACCGAGGGGAUGACGUGUGGGGAGGAGUGAAAGUCUAAUCAAACUGGGAGAUAGCUCGUUCUCUUCGAAAUAGCUGUAGGGCUAGCCUUGAGUGUAACUAUCAGACGGGGGUAGAGAUACUGAAUUGGAUACCGGCGCUCCCAAGCGUACGGUUCCUAACCAAACUCCGAAUACCGUUUGAACUAUCUCAGGAGUCAGUCCGCGAGGGAUAAGCUUCGCGGACGAGAGGGAAACAACCCAGAUCGCCAGCUAAGGUCCCUAAAUAGACCUCAGUCACUAAGGAAGUUUGAAUGCCGAGACAGCCAGGAUGUUGGCUUAGAAGCAGCCAUCAUUUAAAAAGUGCGUAACAGCUUACUGGUCGAGCAUUUAAGCGCCGAUAAUGAACGGGAGUAAGGUCUAUACCGAAGCUGCGGAAUUGGUAGUUUACUAUCAAUUGGUAGAAGAGCGUUGUACAGGAGAUACAAGCCGUACCGAAAGGAGCGGUCUCGGUCUGUACAAGCGAUUAUGUCGGAAUGAGUAACGAUAAAACAGGUGGAAAUCCUGUUCGCCGAAAGCCUAAGGUUUCCUGGGGAAGGUAAUUCCGCCCAGGGUCAGCCGGUACCUUAGUCCAGGCCGAAAGGCGUAGACGAUGGAAAAUUAGGUCAACAUUCCUAUGCUAUUGUUGUGGACUGAUGGAGUGACGGCGUUUGUAAGGUGGGUCACCGAUUAGAAAUGGUGGUACCCCUGUAAGAUUGGCAAGGGCUAAAAGACUUGUAUAAAAAUCGAGCGGGGGUCUGAUGUCUUGUUGCGAAGGCCAUCUGGAAAACGUCCAAGAAAAACUUCUAAGGGUUGAAACAAUGAUAACCGUACUAAAACUGACACAGGUAGGCGGGUUGAGAAUACUAAGGCGCUCGGGAGAAUACUAGUUAAGGAACUCUGCAAAAUGAUCCCGUACGUUCGCAAUAAGGGAUGCCUUUGGGGGUGUUAAAGCUUCUGAAGGUCACAGUAAAUCGGUAUCAGCAACUGUUUAUCAAAAACACAGGACCGUGCUAACACGUAAGUGGAUGUAUACGGUCUGACGCCUGCCCGGUGCCGGUAAGUUAAGGAAGGGGGUUAUCGCAAGAAAAGCUCUCGACCGAAGCUCCGGUAAACGGCGGCUCUAACCUUGAGAGUCCUAAGGUAGCGAAGUUCCUUGUCGGGUAAGUUCCGACCUGCAUGAAAGGCGUAAUGACUGAUACACUGUCUCAACUAGUAACCCGGUGAAAUUGUAGUCGUGGUGAAGAUGCCACGUACCCGCAGUAAGACGG